ACAUACAUACAUACAUACACACACACACACAUAUUAAAAAUACCUUUCUUGUCUUACUCUAUCAAGAGAAAAGCUGGGGGUUUUAUAUCGGGUGAGAUGACUGUAAAUUAAUAUGAAGCUUCUGAAACAGAGAGGUGACGUGGGAACAGGACUCAAACACACUUUUACUUCUGACCAGCCAUUUUUGAGAUUCAAAUCUUCUCUGUAUUGUAUAUGAGCCGUCGAAUCCUCUUGAUAGCAACUGUUUCAUAGGAAAUAAAUACAAACCAGUGCUAAAAUGA
This is a long non-coding RNA of Rhinichthys klamathensis goyatoka, 281 nucleotides long. RefSeq lists it as uncharacterized. The record is from RefSeq and is a predicted model, not a curated record. NCBI's taxonomy places the organism in Eukaryota, Metazoa, Chordata, Actinopteri, Cypriniformes, Leuciscidae. The transcript has 2 exons.